CCUACGGGAGGCAGCAGUGGGGAAUAUUGGGCAAUGGGCGAAAGCCUGAUGCAGCAACGCCACGUGAGUGAGGAAGGCCUUCGGGUUGUAAAGCUCUGUCCUAAGGGAAAAAUGGCAGGUGAUCUAAUAGGUCAUCUGAUUGAUGGUACCUUAGAAGAAAGCACCGGCUAACUUCGUGCCAGCAGCCGCGGUAAU
This 195-nucleotide ribosomal RNA is filed under the name uncultured delta proteobacterium. RNAcentral describes it as "partial 16S ribosomal RNA". It matches the Rfam family "Bacterial small subunit ribosomal RNA", at positions 338 to 524 of the family's 1533-position model. Lineage: Bacteria; Deltaproteobacteria. The record is from RNAcentral.